UACGGCGGUCAUAGUGUCGAGGAAACGCCCGGCUCCAUUCCGAACCCGGAAGCUAAGCUUGAUCGCGCCGAUGGUACUGCACUCGGGAGGGUGUGGGAGAGUAGGUCGCCGCCGGAC
Molecule: ribosomal RNA, 117 nt
Filed under: Brachybacterium sp. UMB0905
Lineage: Bacteria; Bacillati; Actinomycetota; Actinomycetes; Micrococcales; Dermabacteraceae
Source: RNAcentral